GCAUCGGUGGUUCAGUGGUAGAAUGCUCGCCUGCCACGCGGGCGGCCGGUUCGAUUCCCGGCCGAUGCA
Molecule: transfer RNA, 69 nt
Filed under: Manduca sexta (tobacco hornworm)
Lineage: Eukaryota; Metazoa; Arthropoda; Insecta; Lepidoptera; Sphingidae
Description: tRNA-Gly
Rfam family: tRNA
About the family: Transfer RNA (tRNA) molecules are approximately 80 nucleotides in length. Their secondary structure includes four short double-helical elements and three loops (D, anti-codon, and T loops).
Source: RNAcentral